UACGUAGGGUGCGAGCGUUAAUCGGAAUUACUGGGCGUAAAGCGUGCGCAGGCGGUUUUGUAAGCCAGAUGUGAAAUCCCCGGGCUUAACCUGGGAAUGGCAUUUGGGACUGCAAGGCUGGAGUACGGCAGAGGAGACUGGAAUUCCUGGUGUAGCAGUGAAAUGCGUAGAGAUCAGGAGGAAUACCGAUGGCGAAGGCAGGUCUCUGGGCUGAUACUGACGCUCAUGCACGAAAGGCGUGGGGAGCAAACAGGAU
Molecule: ribosomal RNA, 256 nt
Filed under: uncultured bacterium
Lineage: Bacteria
Description: partial 16S ribosomal RNA
Rfam family: Bacterial small subunit ribosomal RNA
Source: RNAcentral